This 519-nucleotide long non-coding RNA is filed under the name Phocoena sinus (vaquita). RNAcentral's name for it is "lncRNA (ENSPSNG00000014890.1)". Lineage: Eukaryota; Metazoa; Chordata; Mammalia; Artiodactyla; Phocoenidae. The record is from RNAcentral.
GUGGGAACUAAACACACAGAGCUAAGUAACCUGUCCAAGGAUAAUAAAGUAGUAAAUGGCAAAGAUGGAAUUCUAUCUGCAGCCAGAGCUGGGGCUUACAAUAUGCAGCUGGCCCCUCAGGCUCAGAAACAACUGGGGAGGUGCGCUAAGCAAAUGUCAGACGUAAAUGUUACAUUGAGCAAACAACGGGAGGGAAGAGUACAUGACAAGGCAGGAGCAGCUCCACACCACACAGCUGUUUCAAGGGCGAACAGACCAUGGUGUCCUGGCAGACGGAUCCUGAUGUCCAAAGUCUAUGCCUAUAUUUGGAAAAUUCUGCACUUUAUAAAUCUCAUUGGGAAGCCCUGCCUACCUCCAGCCCUGGAAGCUCAGUUUCCUAUCUUCCUUGCAGUGAGGACACAAGCCCCUGAGCUACGCUCCACUAGUGGUAAGUUCAUACCAGUCUUUGAACCGAAAACGGCACUGUGAAGCAGGACUGCCCAGCAACCAUUCUGGGGAGGGACGGUGGCAACAGCAGUG